UUGGUUCUGGUUCCUCAGGCACUCUCUCGCAUAGUGCUGGGCACUACCACAUAUGCGACAGGUGUUGUUGAGGUGGUAGCAUGGUCGGUCCCCGUGAUCCCUGCCACAGUGCUGGCAAAUCUUUCCACGUGCUGCCCUUGGAGCCUGAGGAGGGGCCUGGAUCACUGGUCUGGGCCUCUUAUUUGGUUGGACCGGUGUAGUAGGUGUUGGUCUGCAGGGUGGAGCUGAGGGUCGAUGACUCCCUGCUGACUGAGGACAGGUAUUAAAACUCCUCUACAUAAUCUACGCCUUUGCUAGAAUGGCUGAGUAUGUCUUGAGCUCCAGUACCAAUAAGUGUUGCUUGAUCUCUGGGCGGAGGCCCCACUAAAAUCUCCUAGCCUUCCUGCCCUCAUCCAUCAAUGUCUCCAGGGAGUAUCGGCCCAGCUCUAGGAACUUACUAGCAUAUUCCGAUACCGUCAUGUUUUCCUGGACCAGCUGAACAAACUCCAUCUCCUUUAGGUGUCGGAUGUGCUCAGGGAGAUACUCCGCAUGGAAGGCCGCUAAGAAUUGCUCCCAAGUGGCUGGUGUAGGCAGGGUGGUCUACUUGAGCUCCCACCAGCGACUUGCUUCCCCUACCAGCAUGUAGGAAGUAAGGGCAGCUCUCUACUCAGGAACCACUCCCAAGGUCUUGAAAGCUCUCUCAGUCUCUGCCAACCAGUACUGGGCAUCUUCGAAAGAGGAUCCCCCUGCAAAAGUGGAAGGGUUCAGUCUCCUGUACCACUCUAU
RNAcentral lists this long non-coding RNA (765 nucleotides) under Carica papaya (papaya). RNAcentral's name for it is "long non-coding RNA (CPAP_LNC008873)". Lineage: Eukaryota; Viridiplantae; Streptophyta; Magnoliopsida; Brassicales; Caricaceae. The record is from RNAcentral.